RNAcentral lists this ribosomal RNA (433 nucleotides) under uncultured bacterium. RNAcentral describes it as "partial 16S ribosomal RNA". It matches the Rfam family "Bacterial small subunit ribosomal RNA", at positions 29 to 507 of the family's 1533-position model. The record is from RNAcentral.
AACGAACGCUGGCGGCAUGCCUAACACAUGCCAGUCGAACGAGACCUUCGGGUCUAGUGGCGCACGGGUGCGUAACGCGUGGGAACCUGCCCUUAGGUUCGGAAUAACUCCCCGAAAGGGGUGCUAAUACCGGAUAAUGUCUUCGGACCAAAGAUUUAUCGCCUUUGGAUGGGCCCGCGUUGGAUUAGCUAGUUGGUAGGGUAAAAGCCUACCAAGGCGACGAUCCAUAGCUGGUCUGAGAGGAUGAUCAGCCACACUGGGACUGAGACACGGCCCAGACUCCUACGGGAGGCAGCAGUGGGGAAUAUUGAACAAUGGGCGAAAGCCUGAUCCAGCAAUGCCGCGUGAGUGAUGAAGGCCUUAGGGUUGUAAAGCUCUUUUACCCGGGAUGAUAAUGACAGUACCGGGAGAAUAAGCUCCGGCUAACUCCGUG